Patiria miniata (bat star) is the source of this 1524-nucleotide long non-coding RNA. RefSeq lists it as uncharacterized. The transcript is spliced from 2 exons. Lineage: Eukaryota; Metazoa; Echinodermata; Asteroidea; Valvatida; Asterinidae. The record is from RefSeq and is a predicted model, not a curated record.
GCUAAAUGAAGUCCAGUUCAUUUCUUCUAAAUUUGAUCAUCGAACUUGCAAAACGCCGGUAAAAAUGUCGCUCGUAAGAUCGGUAUAUAACACGUUGUUCAGGAGAACGUCAACGUUCGUCCUUACUAUAGCUGUUGGGGCUGUCUUCUUCGAACGUCUGUUCGAUGUAGGAGGAGAUAAAAUCUACGACUACAUAAAUAGAGGCAAACAAUGGAAGGAUAUCAAGGGUGACAUCCUCUUGAGAUCAGCAGAAGCCGGGGAUGAGGAGGAAUGAUAAAUGACUGAUAAUCAUGCUGCAAUGUCUCUCCAAUGGUACACGCACUUCUCCCCAAUCGGCAACAUCAGCAGCUACAUGUACAUUUCAAGUUCAAGACAUCACCUGACAAAGAUGUUGAUGUGGGGCCGACAUCAUUAUCUUCCGCAUCCAAUAGCUCCAUGACCUGGAUGCUGCAGAAAGUGACUCACCUAGUGGCAGUCUUCACAAAUGGCAUCUUGUGCAGACCUGCACUUCGCUUCAACUUCAACACAACUUCUCUGUUCUCUAUUUUGAAGGAUGGCUUCUUGAGUAAAAACACACAGUCUUUACAAUUUUUAAGACUUACAGGGAACAUUUUAAUCUCAACAUUGGACGUUUGAUGAGGCUGAAUAAUUGCAACAACACAAAAAAAAAUCCACCACAGGAUUUGGAAUUGUGAUGGAUUUUGGAUCUACCUUACACAGCCAUAUGUUUCUGUAGUCAUGGGACAAAAUGAAGACGCAUUUUGGUGCAAUAUUACACCAAACUUUCAAACACUUUAAAACAAGCAGAUAUUAGAGAACACAAUGUACAAGACAACAGCAUGUAUUAUCAGAUUUUGUUGUGAAGUGGUUUUUACAAAAGUGUAUAAAGUCAAAUUAUUUGUUGUUCUUUUUUUCCUGAUUAACUACAAUUCAAUCUGUCUGUCACCAGUCUCCAUCCAACCUUUUUUUUUUUAAACAGUUCUGAGGCUUGACAUUAAGUUGACAUUUGGAAAGCUUUUAAAACAAAGACAACUAAAAUAAGUGGUGCAUGAUUUGAAGAAACUUUUAAUUGAUUUGAAGGAUUUUUAUUGCGCACGACUCCUGACAUCAAAUUACAUGUAGUGUGUACAUCUAUUCAACAUUCUGGAUAAUUUGACAUUACUUGAUAUUUUUGUGGUUUAAAUUCAAAACUUAAACUUUACUUUGUAAUUUAUUACACAAAAUAUAAAGCAUUGUAUUUUAAACCAGUAACCUACAUUAAACACACACACACACUUACCACAAAACAAAGGGUAUUGUUUUCCCUGAGUAAAUUUGCAUGUACAUUUAAAUAUUUUAGUGAAAACCAUACAUUAGAAAAAAGCUUUUAUUUCAUGUGUUGCAUGUGUUGCGGUGUGUGAUUUAAUUUAAUCUGGGUUUAUCCACACACAUGCUCCGUCAAAUAAUUUAGGCUCAGAGAUUAGAAUAAAGAUUGGAUGUUGUGUAAGUGUUGAAAAUAGUGAAUCUGUUCUGAACAGUUGAAAA